This 616-nucleotide ribosomal RNA is filed under the name uncultured Legionella sp. Its description in RNAcentral is "bacterial SSU rRNA". It matches the Rfam family "Bacterial small subunit ribosomal RNA", at positions 242 to 849 of the family's 1533-position model. The record is from RNAcentral. Lineage: Bacteria; Pseudomonadati; Pseudomonadota; Gammaproteobacteria; Legionellales; Legionellaceae.
UAGCUAGUUGGUAGGGUAAAGGCCUACCAAGGCGACGAUCGGUAGCUGGUCUGAGAGGAUGACCAGCCACACUGGAACUGAGACACGGUCCAGACUCCUACGGGAGGCAGCAGUGGGGAAUAUUGGACAAUGGGGGGAACCCUGAUCCAGCAAUGCCGCGUGUGUGAAGAAGGCCUGAGGGUUGUAAAGCACUUUCAGUGGGGAGGAGGCUUGUUAGGUUAAGAGCUAAAUAAGUGGACGUUACCCACAGAAGAAGCACCGGCUAACUCCGUGCCAGCAGCCGCGGUAAUACGGAGGGUGCAAGCGUUAAUCGGAAUUACUGGGCGUAAAGAGUGCGUAGGUGGUUUGGUAAGUUAUCUGUGAAAUCCCUGGGCUCAACCUGGGCAGGUCAGAUAAUACUGCUGAACUCGAGUAUGGGAGAGGGUAGUGGAAUUUCCGGUGUAGCGGUGAAAUGCGUAGAGAUCGGAAGGAACACCAGUGGCGAAGGCGGCUACCUGGCCUAAUACUGACACUGAGGCACGAAAGCGUGGGGAGCAACCAGGAUUAGAUACCCUGGUAGUCCACGCCGUAAACGAUGUCAACCAGCUGUUGGUUAUAUGAAUAUAAUUAGUGGCGC